GAAAUUAAUUUUAGAAAAUGCAACUUCUUUUUCUACUCGUAAGCAAUACGACUUCUUUUUGUUUUGUGCAGUUUGUCAUGGUAUAAAAAAUGAAGUCAAGCGCAUGGCAACAGACACGGGAUUGCACUUGGACAUAGACAAAAUCGUAGACGGACGAACUGGUUGCUUGCAGUUUUGUGGCAAACGAGUUGUUGACCAAUAAAAAAAACUAUCAAAAUCGAAAAGUGAUAUGUGUACUUUUCUCAUCCAACCAGGUUUAAUUCAAAUUCGAAAUUGUUGUAAUAAUGCGAUUUUUGGCCUAGAAGCGACUAGCAUUUAUAAUUUUGGCCAAAUUUCAUUGAACUUCGAGUGCUGUAAUAACUGUGAUUAUGAUGAAAGUCCGGCGUACUGGGAACUUGACUAUGAGUUACUUGAUGCCUUUCUCUGCAGCGAAUCAGCUGAUCAUAAAUAUGAUUUAUACCAAAAGUUUUCCAGGCGCUUUAGCAUUUGCGGUAUAUGCAGCAUAUAAUUACUAUAAGUAAAGACAUGUUAUUUGCUGUGCCGCUUUGCUCAAAACCUUGCCCCUAGCAACAGCAACUGUAAGUACCUCGGGGAUCGGGGACUGCAGAUUGUAAACUCAACUCAACUGAAGGAAGACUGUUGUCCCUCUCUCUUUCUCUGUCUCUGGUUAAACAACUGACGAUAAGGCUCAGCAAAUACGAGUUUGGAUAUGAGCUUCGCCGUUCAAAAUACAAAAAAAAAACCCAGGAAUAAACUUGAAUAUUCCAGUUCGAGUGACUCGUUCCAACCUAUUUGCACAGGGUAUAGAAAUUGAUUGUAUGGCUAAGAUGAAAUACACACAACUCUCUCUGGGUGGAUGCAAGGACAGCCACCAGAUGCGGACUCUCGGGCGAGCGACAGAGACGGAGUCCAGAGAGGGGACAUAACAGGCUGCCGCAGACAGAGAGCAGAGGAGAGUUGGCAAAACAAGACCAGACCUGAGCGGCAAGCAGCAAGUCUUCUCGGCACUUUUCUUCAAUUUAUACAUAUCGUGUUUUAGUUUUUUUUUUUAAGGGAAUGGCGGGCUUUGGUCGGCAGGAGCCACGUGAACAGAGCAGAGAAAACGCGACGACUAAGUAAAAGUUAAUUUCAUUAGCAUUGCAGGUUUACCUAUAUAUGUGCUUUGUAUUUGAUGGUUCAGCCAUAACGUAAAGCGGAGACUGAAGAACGAUAUCUGGUGAUAAAGUUGGGGGGUCAUCACUUUUUUCUUUAUUUUCGACACCGAAACCGAAUCGGAGUUUGGGGGACUUGGGAGCGCGCGU
This is a long non-coding RNA of Drosophila sulfurigaster albostrigata, 1301 nucleotides long. RefSeq lists it as uncharacterized. The transcript is spliced from 2 exons. NCBI's taxonomy places the organism in Eukaryota, Metazoa, Arthropoda, Insecta, Diptera, Drosophilidae. The record is from RefSeq and is a predicted model, not a curated record.